This 485-nucleotide ribosomal RNA is filed under the name uncultured bacterium. Its description in RNAcentral is "partial 16S ribosomal RNA". It matches the Rfam family "Bacterial small subunit ribosomal RNA", at positions 30 to 508 of the family's 1533-position model. The record is from RNAcentral.
AUUGAACGCUGGCGGCAGGCCUAACACAUGCAAGUCGAGCGGAUGAAGGGAGCUUGCUCCUGGAUUCAGCGGCGGACGGGUGAGUAAUGCCUAGGAAUCUGCCUGGUAGUGGGGGAUAACGUCCGAAAACGGGCGCUAAUACCGCAUACGUCCUGAGGGAGAAAGUGGGGGAUCUUCGGACCUCACGCUAUCAGAUGAGCCUAGGUCGGAUUAGCUAGUUGGUGGGGUAAAGGCCUACCAAGGCGACGAUCCGUAACUGGUCUGAGAGGAUGAUCAGUCACACUGGAACUGAGACACGGUCCAGACUCCUACGGGAGGCAGCAGUGGGGAAUAUUGGACAAUGGGCGAAAGCCUGAUCCAGCCAUGCCGCGUGUGUGAAGAAGGUCUUCGGAUUGUAAAGCACUUUAAGUUGGGAGGAAGGGCAGUAAGUUAAUACCUUGCUGUUUUGACGUUACCAACAGAAUAAGCACCGGCUAACUUCGUGC